Episyrphus balteatus (marmalade hoverfly) is the source of this 404-nucleotide long non-coding RNA. RefSeq lists it as uncharacterized. The record is from RefSeq and is a predicted model, not a curated record. The transcript has 3 exons. Lineage: Eukaryota; Metazoa; Arthropoda; Insecta; Diptera; Syrphidae.
AUAUAAUGUUAAAAAUUGCUUUCUUUUAUUUAUUAAAUGUAUUUUAUUUCUUUUUGUUAGGUAUAGGUGCAUAUUUAAAAAGUGAAAAUCGUAAUUUGAUUUGUUUCUGAAAUAUGGUGGCACGUAGGUACGUAAUCUUCAACUUUGGACCGGCAAAAGUGGAAAAAUCAACACAAAAUAAAAACCAUAUUAAAGGCAGGCGAUUCUCAACAAAUCCUGUACACUUGAAAUUGUCAUUGCAAACUAAAGCAAAACAUUGAAUUUACUCCAGAGUCUAAUGCUGCCGAUUACAAUAAGAUGAUGCAUCCAUUAAAAAAGUAAAAUUAAGUUAAAAAUUAAAUUUAUAGUGAAAUGUAUAGUGAUAGUGAUCAAUAAAACAUUUUUAUAACGUUUAAACUUAAUAA